RNAcentral lists this ribosomal RNA (387 nucleotides) under Zygogeomys trichopus (tuza). Its description in RNAcentral is "partial 12S ribosomal RNA". Lineage: Eukaryota; Metazoa; Chordata; Mammalia; Rodentia; Geomyidae. The record is from RNAcentral.
AUAGCCAUAAACAUAAAUAAAUAAAAUAACAAAUUUAUUCGCCUGAGAACUACAAGCAAUCGCUAGAAACUCAAAGGACUUGGCGGUGCUUCACAUCCGCCUAGAGGAGCCUGUUCCGCAACCGAUAAACCCCGAUCCACCUUACCACUUCUUGUUAAUUCAGCCUAUAUACCGCCAUCCUCAGCUAACCCUAAAAGGGAACAUAAGUAAGCACAAUAAUUACAAAAUAAUAAAAAAGUUAGGUCAAGGUGUAGCCAAUGAAGUGGAGUGCAAUGGGCUACAUUUUCUGUAAUCAGAACAUUACGGACUUCUCUCUGAAAAACAGAGAAUGAAGGAGGAUUUAGUAGUAAGUUAAAAAUAGAGCGUUUAACUGAAUAGAGCAAUGAA